Molecule: non-coding RNA, 879 nt
Organism: Chiloscyllium plagiosum (whitespotted bambooshark)
Lineage: Eukaryota; Metazoa; Chordata; Chondrichthyes; Orectolobiformes; Hemiscylliidae
Source: RefSeq, a predicted model, not a curated record
UAUUGGUCAAUCCUGAAGGCAGCGGCAUAGCUGAUUGGGCUAUCGGACGUCAGUCAAAUAUCCGGUUGCCCGCCUGCCGCCCUAACGCAACAACGUCCUACCCUUCUACAACGGUGAUUGGUUCGUUCUCCCGCAGUCCUGCACAACCAUUGGACAUAAUUGGUGUCCAUCAUCAGCCACCCACGUGCGGAACCAUCACGUUCGGGUGACGCCCGACACGGAGAGCCCACCCCCCUUUCCGGAUUUGUAUUGGUCCAUCCUGGAACAAAUGCAGAGAUGAUUGGACAAUUGCGGUGCCAAUCAGCUCACCGGCUGCCCGGCAGCAAGAUCGGUUGAGCUAGACCCGGAAGUCGGCCUCCAUUUUAACCAUUGUUACGGUGGAAGGAGGGGGAGAUUCGGGUCAUCGCUCAUAGCAACGGGAACCGGGCAAGAAAAGAAAUAAAAUAUCCCCCUUCCCUUCCAACCCCAGCUUACCCCCUCUCCCUUGCGAUCUAAUUAUAUUUUUAAUUGUUUCCCAUAAAGAGAAAAAAAACCUAUUUUUUAAAAAAAGAAUUACAAUGGCGGUUAUGAAGCCCGAGGCCUAACUUCACUCCUGAAGCCUCGGGGUCGAGUAGGUGGUCAGCCCGUACCGGCGCGCUUCGAUCCCGGGGUCCAUGAGGCGCUGAAGCUGAAGGGAUUUUUCUUUUGAGGAAAAGAAGAAAAUAAAGGAAACAAAUCAAAACAAAAGACACAGAUAUCGCCCGGAGCUCCCUCCAACCGCCCCCCUGCAACAACCACCCACCCAGCCCCCAUCAAAUAAUCACUGGAGGGAGGUAAUCAGCCAAGUAACAGGUGUGACCAGUGGACAAGUGUGAGCAGCGGUGACUUCCCAAAACCAGC